RNAcentral lists this long non-coding RNA (645 nucleotides) under Canis lupus dingo (dingo). RNAcentral's name for it is "lncRNA (ENSCAFG00020013407.1)". The record is from RNAcentral. Lineage: Eukaryota; Metazoa; Chordata; Mammalia; Carnivora; Canidae.
GAGCCUGGGGCACGCCCACCCCUUCCACGCACGCACGCACGCACGCACGGACGCACGCACGCAGGCACACGCCGCCCUGGGCGCGCGGGCGGACGGCGGUGCGGUGGGCCGGGACGCGCAUGCUCGCGGGGGCCGAGCCUCCGGGGCCUUCCGGCGGGGAGUGCGGGGGCGCCUGGCGGGCACGGGCUCGGGUGCGGAGAGCUACGAGGCCGAACUGGGGCUUCCGUGGGUCCCGGAGUGAACGUCCGCCGGACUAUCCGGCGGUCAGCGAAUCCUAGAGCAGAGGGGACAAAGGAGGUAACACUAUGGUAGAGGAAGCUGAGACUUGCCUGUAAGCUCUCCAGUCCUCAGUGGUAAGGAAGAGACUACAGCCUUUGGACCCGGGAAACCAAGAUGCGUGUGGAUGCCCAUCCGGAGCUCUUUCCAGGAUCUUGGACUCAAAACCCGUUUAAGCAUCCACGAGCUGUGCAGGGGGCUGCUCUGUGUGCCAGACUUCCUUCGCCUUAACGGAUAUUCUUCUUUAUAUCCAAGAGGAGAUCUCUUGCAGGUUUGCUCUUAUUUCCAAGACUUUAUAUCCAAGAGGAGAUCUCUUGCAGUUUUGCUCUUAUUUCCAAGAAUAAAUGGUACGGGUUUGCACAUACCUAC